AUCAGGGAUGGUCAAAGCGGUGGGAUCGUUCCAUCUAGAGCCUCCACGAUCACCUGGACGAAUGAAAAUUCCAGAACCUCCACGAUUGGCCUUGCGUCCCUGUGUCCAUCGUUCCCCAACCUCCCACGUUUUCUCGAUUUGGUCCACCACUCCUCCACUACAGCCGUGAGCACCAGAGAUUCGGCCACAAUGCCCAAAAGGUAUGGCGAGGUUGAGCUCGGUGCCGGGAUCCAGCACCGGCGCACAGGAUGCCUGCCGAGCGGGGCGGUCGCCGGUCGCAAGGAUCGAGGCGGAUGGACGGCGCCGCGAGCUGCCCCGGCGGACGCCUCAUGCGCUAUAGGAGCAGGUCGAGAGGGUGCGCUCAGCCGACGUCUCCUUCCUCCUGUCGUCUUCCACUCUUCCCUCCCAUGGUCGAUGCCCACUCCCUCCCUUCCAUUCCACCCCCUUUGUACACGAGCGGAAGCUGUCCCGAGAUGACAAGCGAAAGGAAUUCCAAGGAAGGGGCAGCGUCAGCUCCCAGUGACCGCCGGCCUUCUUUCCCUCCACCCUCUACCUACAAGUUCUUCCGUGCCUCCACUGGGCUGAUCCCUGUAGAGAGGCCGGUUCGUCGUCCCCUUCAUACCUGGACGACCGCCCCGAACGACGCUCCGAUGGGAGAUCGGAUGAGAGCGAGGUGCUCAUGGCCAUAGAGAGAGACGACUGUGAUCCAGCACCUCCAUGAUUGCUCGACUGCCCCGCCCAUUUAUGAUACAUUAUUUUUUUAUCCUUCUUGCCAGCGUCCUUGCGGAAAGUUUUCCGAUGCCAAACCGACCUACAGCGCUCACGACUCUUGACAGUCUAGGCGUCUAGCCGAAGCUGCAGCCCUACAAGAGACGCUCAUCAGUUUUCAACGAAGAUGUGCAAAGUGCAAGAAUGUGCUGUGAAGGAUGGAGCCCGUCCCUGCAUUGUUUUGUCCAUUGAGUCAGCCUACCGAAGGUGUCCGCUGCAGGCAACCUCUAUGCUCUAUCAUUCUUGCUAUAAGGUUUGCAAUAUUGAUGCCAUGGUUCUAUAGAAAACCUAAAAAUAUACCAUUAUAUGUAACUUAAUUGUUUGGGAUGGUGAAACGAGGAUCAUUUUCAGUGUGUUAUUCUGCUCGCCAAAGUUCAGCAUUCUUGUGCCAUCAACAUUGCAAUGGAUAGUGUGAUGAAGAAUGUUUCUUUAGAGCCUCAGAUUUUUUUUUGGAUAAUCAUCAAAACAAGUUCGUCACAGAAACCUGUUUUUUCAAGGUACGUGGUUUAGAAUUUAGCUUGGGACUUGUGACUUCCUACUUUGUUCUAGCAUGAACAUAAUGGCCUCCCAAUGUUGUUUGAGUCUCCUAUGUUGAAUUGCUAUAAUCUAUUCUCCCGUUACAUAGGGCUAAAAGAAUGUAUAGAAGGUUUCUGCAUCAUACUACGUUACGAGCUAUACAUGUAUGAAACGAAGACAUGCUAGGAAGUAUUUGUAUAUUUCAUUUCAUAUCAUAUCAUAUUUGUGUUGGUUUGACGUACAAUAAGCUCUCUACAUGAACUUUGAUUUUUCCACUCAUGGUUAUUGGGUAGUAAUAUUUUGAGCCCUGUUGUGCCAAAGUGAGCUCUCUCUUGCUAUCCAUGUUGAUGCUUGGUUCUGUACUACAAGCUACCGCUACUCUCCCCCUCUCUUCGAUCUGGAUCCGGAAGAGGGAGCAGCAUUUUCUUCAAAAUAAGAAGAUUAUAUUGGUCAUGGAAAACAAUCAUCAUUGUGAUUGUUCGUGUACAAGCUAUUCUUCUUUUUGUUGACUUUUGUUUCUGGUUAUAAGAAGGUCCACAAGGGCAUGAAUUAAGAUGCCACAGGUAUGUUGAUUAUACAUUAGCCCACUGUUUCAGAUAUCAAUUGGCAUCAAAGAGUAACUUCAGAUUAGUUGGUCUUUUCAAAUUGCAUAGGUCAUGUAAGCCUACGACCAACUCCUGAAAAUUUGUACUCCAACAUAGAGUGUAUUGGUCUUAGGUACUUCUGCGAUGAUGUCAUAUGUUUCCGUACAAAUAUGAUAUGUUUAUAGGUUCGUAGUCUCACAUCAAAUUUCCACUAAUUUCUCUCAUAUACUCUGAUCCUGGCUGCUAUUGUGGGCAAAAAUGUCUGGAACUGACGACAAGCGUGUCCUUUAUAAUCAACUGAUUAAUAUUUCCUUCCAUUGUUUAUAUUUUUCAGGGUUCACUUUCUACUGAAUGCAUCAGGUUCCUUCCCCUUUUUGGGUUUGAGUUUUUGGUCCCAAGAGAAUUUAGAUGGCUGCCUCUGAAGUGCAAAUGUUGCCAAUGUUCUUUUGCUGAAACAAUGACCGACAUCUACUGGAAGUCUGGAAGAUCAAGUUGGUUGCCCAUUUUUACACUGGAGCUUUUGAUGCCUAGAAAAUGAGAGGAGAAAGAAACACGCUUAAGCAAUCAACUCAAAAUUCAUCAGCUACCGGUUUUGUGGGAUUCCAGUAUUUAGACUACUUAGAAGAUGGUCCACUUAUAUAGACAUAAUGUAUAUAGUUUAGAUGCAUGGACCGUGUAUCCAAACUUCUUUGCUGUUCUUUGUCAGUUAGUGGUGUUGGAGACUAUUUUCUUUAUUUCUGUUUUCUGUGCCAUGUACUGCUAUAUGUAGUUGAAAUUACAUAAUGAAUCAAAGUAUGUCCUCUCUAUCUCUUA
This is a long non-coding RNA of Lolium perenne, 2681 nucleotides long. RefSeq lists it as uncharacterized. Lineage: Eukaryota; Viridiplantae; Streptophyta; Magnoliopsida; Poales; Poaceae. The record is from RefSeq and is a predicted model, not a curated record.